GUACACUCCUACGGGAGGCAGCAGUGGGGAAUUUUGAACAAUGGGCGAAAGCCUGAUCCAGCCAUGCCGCGUGCAGGAUGAAGGCCUUCGGGUUGUAAACUGCUUUUGUACGGAACGAAACGGCCUUUUCUAAUAAAGAGGGCUAAUGACGGUACCGUAAGAAUAAGCACCGGCUAACUACGUGCCAGCAGCCGCGGUAAUACGUAGGGUGCAAGCGUUAAUCGGAAUUACUGGGCGUAAAGCGUGCGCAGGCGGUUAUGUAAGACAGUUGUGAAAUCCCCGGGCUCAACCUGGGAACUGCAUCUGUGACUGCAUAGCUAGAGUACGGUAGAGGGGGAUGGAAUUCCGCGUGUAGCAGUGAAAUGCGUAGAUAUGCGGAGGAACACCGAUGGCGAAGGCAAUCCCCUGGACCUGUACUGACGCUCAUGCACGAAAGCGUGGGGAGCAAACAGGAUUAGAAACCCGGGUAGUCCCAUGA
RNAcentral lists this ribosomal RNA (478 nucleotides) under uncultured organism. RNAcentral's name for it is "partial 16S ribosomal RNA". It matches the Rfam family "Bacterial small subunit ribosomal RNA", at positions 331 to 800 of the family's 1533-position model. The record is from RNAcentral.